UACGUAGGGUGCGAGCGUUAAUCGGAAUUACUGGGCGUAAAGCGUGCGCAGGCGGUUUGUUAAGACAGAUGUGAAAUCCCCGGGCUUAACCUGGGAACUGCAUUUGUGACUGGCAAGCUAGAGUAUGGCAGAGGGGGGUAGAAUUCCACGGUGUAGCAGUGAAAUGCGUAGAGAUGUGGAGGAAUACCGAUGGCGAAGGCAGCCCCCUGGGCCAAUACUGACGCUCAUGCACGAAAGCGUGGGGAGCAAACAGG
This 254-nucleotide ribosomal RNA is filed under the name uncultured bacterium. RNAcentral describes it as "partial 16S ribosomal RNA". It matches the Rfam family "Bacterial small subunit ribosomal RNA", at positions 524 to 776 of the family's 1533-position model. The record is from RNAcentral.